UGAGAUUUUUUGUUUAAUUAUACAUAUGGUUGCCAGCAUAUGGAUUAACUUGAUAAAAAGUUGAUGAUGAGUUUGAUGGGAAGUUAAAUUGGGAAUGAUAGUAUGGGUGGCUUGUGGAAACGUGAGAAGGAAAUAUAUUUGGUAUAGGAUCUCCAUUCUCGUUAAUAAACGUAAUAUCAUUACUUGGAGGAACUUGAGAUAAACUCUGAUAUGGAGCGUUGCUUUCAAUAUGAAUAGGCAUUGUAGUAUUACCAAGAAUCUUUUCAGGCUCUCUAAUAUGAGUAAAGAAAUCCAAAUUAUCCCAGGAGUUAUUCUUGGUAAAGUAAGCAAAAGCACUUCGAAUACAAGUGGAAAAUGUCCUCCCCUGCAUGUCAUAACAAAAUCCUUCUGUAUUACGUCCAGCAAAUCUCUUCUUAAUUGCUUCAGGUUUCUUAUAAUACUCAUAAAAUGUCACGUUAGACAUGAUUGAUUUAACAUGUCUGAUAAAUAGAUACAAUACGAAAAUCAUCCAUGGGAUAUUCAUAAUGCUGUUGAACAUUAUUAAAGCGAACCAAGGAUCAGAUGUCAUGAAAUAAUAGGCUUUUUCGUGGAAAUAAAUACCCUCAGUGUCACCAACUCCAAGGAAAAGAUCUCCAGUCUGCAUUGUAAACCAGUUAUUAUUCGAAUCAGUGGAUGAAAUCUUCUUGAGAGAUGCUGAAAACUUGAAUCUGAAAGAGCAAUAUUGUUGGAACAAGUAGUAGUAGAGGAAGAAUGAGAUUGUGAGAAACUUUAGGAAGAAGAAGAAUGCUCUUUGAUUCCCAUAGCCAACACAAGAAUCAAUCCAUACGCAAUGAUGGUCAAAUCUUUGUAUACAAUAUCCGCAAUCUGAACAAUGAUGUCCUCUAAAUGGCCUUUCUGUUCUGCAAGUAACACAUAUUUUUGGUAAAACUGGAGCAGUCGAAUUUAUUGGUUUUCCUUCAACAAUAUCAAUAUAAAUCUUUGAAUUAUUAGAUUGCCUUUCCUUUGCAACAAAAGGCAUCAGC
RNAcentral lists this non-coding RNA (1022 nucleotides) under Cryptosporidium parvum. The record is from RNAcentral. Lineage: Eukaryota; Apicomplexa; Conoidasida; Eucoccidiorida; Cryptosporidiidae.